ACGGCUCAGUAACACGUCGGUAACCUACCCUCGGGAGGGGGAUAACCCCGGGAAACUGGGGCUAAUUCCCCAUAGGCCUGAGGUACUGGAAGGUCCUCAGGCCGAAAGGGACUUAUGUCCGCCCGAGGAUGGGCCGACGGCCGAUUAGGUAGUUGGUGGGGUAAUGGCCCACCAAGCCGAAGAUCGGUACGGGCUGUGAGAGCAGGAGCCCGGAGAUGGACACUGAGACACGGGUCCAGGCCCUACGGGGCGCAGCAGGCGCGAAGCCUCCGCAAUGCGGGAAACCGCGACGGGGGGACCCCGAGUGCCGUGGCAACGCCACGGCUUUUCCGGAGUGUAAAAAGCUCCGGGAAUAAGGGCUGGGCAAGGCCGGUGGCAGCCGCCGCGGUAAUACCGGCGGCCCGAGUGGUGGCCGCUAUUAUUGGGCCUAAAGCGUCCGUAGCCGGGCCCGUAAGUCCCUGGCGAAAUCCCACGGCUCAACCGUGGGGCUUGCUGGGGAUACUGCGGGUCUUGGGACCGGGAGAGGCGGGGGGUACCCCUGGGGUAGGGGUGAAAUCCUAUAAUCCCAGGGGGACCGCCAGUGGCGAAGGCGCCCCGCUGGAACGGGUCCGACGGUGAGGGACGAAGGCCAGGGGAGCAAACCGGAUUAGAUACCCGGGUAGUCCUGGCUGUAAAGGAUGCGGGCUAGGUGUCGGGUGAGCCUCGAGCUCGCCCGGUGCCGUAGGGAAGCCGUUAAGCCCGCCGCCUGGGGAGUACGGCCGCAAGGCUGAAACUUAAAGGAAUUGGCGGGGGAG
This 794-nucleotide ribosomal RNA is filed under the name uncultured Thermococcus sp. RNAcentral describes it as "bacterial SSU rRNA". It matches the Rfam family "Archaeal small subunit ribosomal RNA", at positions 85 to 876 of the family's 1478-position model. The record is from RNAcentral. Lineage: Archaea; Methanobacteriati; Methanobacteriota; Thermococci; Thermococcales; Thermococcaceae.